Molecule: ribosomal RNA, 460 nt
Filed under: uncultured bacterium
Lineage: Bacteria
Description: partial 16S ribosomal RNA
Rfam family: Bacterial small subunit ribosomal RNA
Source: RNAcentral
CCUACGGGUGGCAGCAGUGAGGAAUAUUGGUCAAUGGACGCAAGCCUGAACCAGCCAAGCAGCGUGCAGGAAGACGGCUCUAUGAGUUGUAAACUGCUUUUGUAAGGGGAUAAAUCGCGGUACGUGUAUCGGGUUGAAAGUAUCGUACGAAUAAGGAUCGGCUAACUCCGUGCCAGCAGCCGCGGUAAUACGGAGGAUUCAAGCGUUAUCCGGAUUUAUUGGGUUUAAAGGGUGCGUAGGCGGUUCGUUAAGUUAGAGGUGAAAGCCCGGGGCUCAACUCCGGAACUGCAUUUGAUACUGUCGGGCUAGAGUUUAGUUGCGGUAGGCGGAAUGUGUGGUGUAGCGGUGAAAUGCAUAGAGAUCAUACAGAACCCCGAUUGCGAAGGCAGCUUACCAAACUACCACUGACGUUGAGGCACGAAAGCGUGGGGAGCAAACAGGAUUAGAUACCCGAGUAGUC